This 406-nucleotide ribosomal RNA is filed under the name uncultured bacterium. RNAcentral describes it as "partial 16S ribosomal RNA". It matches the Rfam family "Bacterial small subunit ribosomal RNA", at positions 30 to 526 of the family's 1533-position model. The record is from RNAcentral.
AUUGAACGCUGGCGGCAGGCCUAACACAUGCAAGUCGAACGAGCGGCGUACGUGUGAGUAAUGUCUGGGAAUCUGCCCGAUAGAUGGGGAUAACUACUGGAAACGGUAGCUAAUACCGCAUACUAUCGGAUGACCCCCUAUGGGAUUAGCUAGUAGGUGGGGUAAAGGCUCACCUAGGCGACGAUCUCGAGCUGGUCUGAGAGGAUGAUAAGCCACACUGGGACUGAGACACGGACCAGACGCCUACGGGAGGCAGCAGGGGGGAAGAGUGCAAAAUGGGCGCAAGCCUGAUGCAGCCAUGCCGCGUGUAUGAAGAAGGCCUGAGGGUUGUAAAGUACUUGAAGCGUGGAGGCGUUACCCGCAGAAGAAGCACCGGCUAACUCCGUGCCAGCAGCCGCGGUAAUUC